UACGUAGGCAGCAAGCGUUGUUCGGAGUUACUGGGCGUAAAGAGUGCGUAGGUGGUGCCCUAAGUCUGUUGUGAAAUCUCCCGGCUUAACUGGGAGGGUGCGGUGGAAACUGGGGUGCUUGAGUGUGGGAGAGGUAAGCGGAAUUCCUGGUGUAGCGGUGAAAUGCGUAGAUAUCUGGAGGAACACCGGUGGCGAAGGCGGCAUUCUGGACCAUAACUGACACUGAGAGACGAAAGCCAGGGGAGCAAACGGG
RNAcentral lists this ribosomal RNA (253 nucleotides) under uncultured bacterium. RNAcentral's name for it is "partial 16S ribosomal RNA". It matches the Rfam family "Bacterial small subunit ribosomal RNA", at positions 524 to 776 of the family's 1533-position model. The record is from RNAcentral.